CAUCCUCCAAGGCUAAAUACUCCUGACUGACCGAUAGUGAACCAGUACCGUGAGGGAAAGGCGAAAAGAACCCCGGCGAGGGGAGUGAAAAAGAACCUGAAACCGUGUACGUACAAGCAGUGGGAGCCCCACCACUAAGCCAGUGGUGAACUCCACAUCCGCAUCCUUUGCUGAGGAUACGGUUAACGGAGCGAAAGCGACGUUCAACCGCAAAACAAGCAGAGGGGGCUUAGUGGUGGGGUGACUGCGUACCUUUUGUAUAAUGGGUCAGCGACUUAUAUUCUGUAGCAAGGUUAACCGAAUAGGGGAGCCGGAGGGAAACCGAGUCUUAAUUGGGCGUUAAGUUGCAGGGUAUAGACCCGAAACCCGGUGAUCUAGCCAUGGGCAGGUUGAAGGUUGGGUAACACUAACUGGAGGACCGAACCGAC
Molecule: ribosomal RNA, 428 nt
Filed under: Salmonella enterica subsp. enterica serovar Heidelberg
Lineage: Bacteria; Pseudomonadati; Pseudomonadota; Gammaproteobacteria; Enterobacterales; Enterobacteriaceae
Also listed under: 5 other names
Description: bacterial LSU rRNA
Rfam family: Bacterial large subunit ribosomal RNA
Source: RNAcentral